UCUUCAGUAGCUUAGUGGUAGAGUGGUCGGCUGUUAACUGAUUGGUCAUAGGUUCAAAUCCUAUUUGGGGAG
Olea europaea var. sylvestris is the source of this 72-nucleotide non-coding RNA. NCBI's taxonomy places the organism in Eukaryota, Viridiplantae, Streptophyta, Magnoliopsida, Lamiales, Oleaceae. The record is from the annotation of a RefSeq genome assembly.